AGGGGCCACAUCACUCAUCCAACAAGUUUGCAUAAUUUGCGUAUGCGAAAUCUGAUAUAAAGCUACUUGAUACUAUUCAAACCAAUUUAAGAAACUUUUAUAUUACAAAUUCAACUUUUAUCUUAAUAUUUGCCUAUUGUCUCAAUUAAUGUAUCAAAUUCUCAUAUACUACACAAAACAAUUUUUUAACAUACACAUUAUCUAUAAACAAUUAAAUAUAUCUCAAUACAUUAAUAUAAUCAUCCAUUACAUUAUCAAUCCAAUCAUACUUUGUUGGAGAUCCCACAUCUACUAGAGAUG
Molecule: long non-coding RNA, 300 nt
Filed under: Vigna radiata
Lineage: Eukaryota; Viridiplantae; Streptophyta; Magnoliopsida; Fabales; Fabaceae
Description: long non-coding RNA (VRAD_LNC008902)
Source: RNAcentral